RNAcentral lists this unclassified non-coding RNA (570 nucleotides) under Hevea brasiliensis (rubber tree). The record is from RNAcentral. Lineage: Eukaryota; Viridiplantae; Streptophyta; Magnoliopsida; Malpighiales; Euphorbiaceae.
UAGGACUGUUAGAAAUUAAAAUUAGUUAAAAAAAAUGUUCUGCCUUAUUGUCCAAGCCCCGCAUCACAACCCAAGCGAUACAUAAACCCAACCAUCCUUAAUUUCAGUAGUUUCUUCUUUCCUUAAGGCUACACCAUGUUCCAUCAAUGCACCAAUUAAAACUCAAAAAUCAACAUGUUUUAUCCUUUUCUCCUUCAAUUAAACAUUCAAAACAACUCAUAAAUCCCAAAUUUUCUACUGGUAAAAGGAAAAAUAUUCAACCUGGUGCUGUGAUUAGAGCCAAUCAAUAUUCAUUCUUUGCCCUCAAAUUUUCACUUAAUUCAAAGACACUAGAUUCCUUACUCUUUGAUUCAAACUCAGAUACUGUAGUUUUCAAGCCCUUCUCCCACCAUGUAACUCAUACGUUGAUUGAUCAACAUGUCUUACAUCAGAGGGAAAUCUGAAUCCUAGGUGCUGGUGCACAGUAGCCAAUUUACUCUCAUGACUGUCCUUUUGGGGAGGAGGAAAAAGGAGGGAGGGAGAGAAGGGAGGGGGCCCGGGCCCGGAUUAGAGAGAGAGAGAGAGGAAGAA